Long non-coding RNA from Oryctolagus cuniculus (rabbit), 2268 nucleotides. RefSeq lists it as uncharacterized. The record is from RefSeq and is a predicted model, not a curated record. Lineage: Eukaryota; Metazoa; Chordata; Mammalia; Lagomorpha; Leporidae.
UGACGAGAUUUCAGGGCAGAGUUGCCAGUCCACGCGCUGUGCUUUUACACCCUGGCGAUCCAGGGGGAGAGCAACCAGGCAAGCAUCAGGCCAGACGCUGUGAGUUUCUGCUGAGAGCCCAGCCGCACGCUGACAGGGGUGAAAACUGCAGAAGCCAUGCCCCACACAGAGUGAGUGACCUUUGUGGCUGCAUGGUCAAUUGGUCAGACCCUGGAAUGGAUGGAAACUUGCUGUGUGGCCUUCUGGAAAGCAGGAGCCAAUUGCAUCACAAAGAAGAGGAAAUGCACCCCAAGAGGUCCUCAAGUCUACCAGGCACAGACAGCUUUCAACAAAAACUUUAUCAGCGCGGCCUUGGCCAUGGUAGCCUGCAGUCUGCAAAGGAGCCAGGAGCGGGAGCGGUGCUGAGCACCACCCUGCCUGGCUUCUGGUGGAACUCCCUCUCCCCCUUGUGUUCUGCAUGGGUGCUUACAACAGCUACUGGUCUUGCUAACCAGUCCUCAGCACACCUUGCUUAUUUAAAAAAAAUUUCAUUUAAGGAAUACAAGCUGCAUGCAUUUCACGUAUACAAAUUGGGGAACAUGGUAAUUCUUCCCACCCUACCUCCCUCCCACUCUUCCUCCUCCUGCUCCUAUUCCCAUUCUUAUUUUUCACAAAGAUCUAUUUCCGGUUACCUUAUACUCAUAAUAUUAACCGUACACUAAGUAGCACAACUUGCUGAUUAUACAACUCAUCAGUCCCCUCUAGCCCACCCACUUGCUUCCUCCUGUUGGGCACCCCCCUCCGCUCCCCUCUAAUCGUGUAAAGUGUGUGAGUGUGCCCAGAUCAGAGCCCACUGCAUGUGUGCGCCUGUUUGCAUUUGAUGACUUUUCCGUAGGUCCUGAACAAGUAGUUCUGUAUUUGUUGAAAUUCAGUUUACAUAGUCCGUAACUUUCAUAAAAUCAAAUGGGGUAAAAUAAUGAGGGGGUGGCAUUUGGCCUAGCUGUUAAGGUGCCAAUCAGGAUGCCUGCCUUCUACAUCAGAGUGUCUGGGUUCAACACCUGGCUUCACCUGGUUUAACACAGACUCUUGGAGACAGUGGUGAGGGCUCAAGAAAUUGGAUUAUUUUUUAGAGAUUGAUUUAUUUAUUUGAACGUCAGAGCUACACAGAGAAGAAGAGGUAAAGAGAGAGAGAGAGAGAGAGAGAGAGGUCUUCCAUCCACAGGUUCACUCCCUAAUUGGCUGCAACGGCCGGAGCUGCUCCAGGAGCCAGGAGCUUCCUCCAGAUCUCCCACCUGGGCCAUCUUCCACUGCUUUCCCAGGCCAUAGCAGAGAGCUGGACCAGAAGUGGAGCAGGCAGGACUCAAACUGUCGCCCAUAUGGGAUGCUGGCACUGCAGGCAGCAGCUACACCCUCCAUGCCACAACGCUGGCUCCAAAUAAUUGGAUUCUUGAGCUAGACUGAGCUCCCUGCUCCCACUUCAGCCCCUGGCCAUUGAGGGCAUUUGGGGUAGUGAACCAGCAAACGGAAUAUCUUUCAUUCUCAUGUAAGUAAGUACAUAAAUAAAUAAAUGUUUUAAAAGUAAUGAAACAUGAAUGAGGGAGAGGAAGAUGGGAUGAGGGAGAAAUGUGGCUAUGGUCAUGUUUUCCAUGCAUCAACAUACAUUCUGUUGCCAGUUCAUUACCUAUGUUUCAGUGUGUAGACCCUCCUCCAUGUGGAUAUGUUGUCUACAUGCCGCCUAAAGAAUGGUAGGCACUGUAAGGGGAUACACAAGAAAUCCCUUCUCUCCUGGGACCCUUCGUCCCAGGGGUGAGCCAGUAGUAAGUUCUUACAUCCAAGUCACACGCAGUGUGGAGCUUUGUUGCUUUAAUUUCCAUGAGCAAAAGAGGGGACAGAUUCUCCACAUUGUGUAAGAGGAAACUGAGGCCUCGAGAGUUAGGGGUCCUCAGAAUAUCUGUGGAACUGAGGCUUGCAUCCUGGUUUCCUGACUCUGAGUUUUUCUUCCGCCAUUACUCACAUCCAGCCCUGCUGCGGAGCUAUGACAGUGCAGCAGUGUGGGGAUGCCACAGUGCCUGGGCGUGAUGAGGAGGCUGGACCCUGGGGAAGGAGAAAUCAGUGAGGGUUGCAGAGAGCAGAGAGUGGCCGGCAAGGGGAGGGGACGGGACCGGAACCUCCAGGAGUCCUCAGCACUCGGUGAGUGGGCUAUAAUGGAGCUUCCUUCAGCCCCUGAGUGUCCUUCUGUUAGGUAAAGGGCCACAAAAAGGAACCAGAGUCUGAGUUUUCAAGAGCUUG